UAUUUUUAAUAGUCAUUGUGCAAUUCUUUUCAAGCAUGUUAUCCACUGGCACUGGAAAAAACCAAAAACAAAGAAUACAUUUGAAAUUAAUCGUGGGAUCUCCUCCAGGUCCGAUGUAGCCAAACAGAACGCCCAGCACGAGGAAUAUUACGAAUGGAACGAAAAUGCACGAGCACACUGCUAUUUGUAUGAUGGAAUAUUUUCCACAACUCCACAUGGCACCCAUGGGAGCCCGAUUUUUUAUUAUUUAGCCAAACAGAGAAAUAACAUCUGAUCACUACUGUUUGACAAGGAAAAUUUAAUGGGAAUUUUAUUAAAUUACUUUUCAAUAAA
Cimex lectularius (bed bug) is the source of this 333-nucleotide long non-coding RNA. RefSeq lists it as uncharacterized. The transcript has 2 exons. The record is from RefSeq and is a predicted model, not a curated record. Lineage: Eukaryota; Metazoa; Arthropoda; Insecta; Hemiptera; Cimicidae.